AUGGACGCAGAGGCCGGGGAGAACGCUGGUGAAGCGGAACGGAUAACAGAUGGCGAUUGGACUGGCACACACACACUGCCAAUGAUCUCCGAACAGAGACUGGAUCGUGUGUUCUCAUCAAACCAUGACAGGCCUGCGGAUGCGCCGGAGCUUGACCAUGGCCUAGACCCAGGGAACUUCGUUGUUUACUUGGUAAACACAAUCGACCGCUCUGUGGUGAGGGUAAUCCAGAGCGGGUAUGAUUUCUCCAGGCACGUGAACCAUCCAGUCUUCAGUCCAGAUGGGCAGAGCAUCGCUCUGACAUCGGACCUCACUGCGGUGUCCGCUAACCCAAUGUCGCCUCCAAUCUUCUUGCACUCGCUGAGGCCCUACUGUGACAUCUUCACCGUUGAUAUCGACCCUGACGACAUGGAGGAGAACCAGGAUGUGGAGAAGUUUGCCCGCGUCACGCAUAACAGAUACGAGAACUCCACUCCUGCCUGGUCCGUGUUCUCGACUCAUGACCCGCAUGCACAGUGGAACCUCCUGGUCAUGGAGGAAAGUUACACCUUGUCGUGCCCGUAUGCAAAUUGA
Molecule: ribosomal RNA, 573 nt
Filed under: Triticum aestivum (bread wheat)
Lineage: Eukaryota; Viridiplantae; Streptophyta; Magnoliopsida; Poales; Poaceae
Description: partial small subunit ribosomal RNA
Source: RNAcentral